GAGGGGCCCGCGGCCGAUUAGCUUGUUGGCGGGGUAAUGGCCCACCAAGGCUAUGAUCGGUAGCCGGUCUGAGAGGACGCACGGCCACACUGGAACUGAAACACGGUCCAGACUCCUACGGGAGGCAGCAGUGGGGAAUCUUGCACAAUGGGGGAAACCCUGAUGCAGCGACGCCGCGUGAGUGAUGAAGCUCUUCGGAGUGUAAAGCUCUUUCGGCAGGGAAGAACCAAGACGGUACCUGCAAAAGAAGCCCCGGCUAACUACGUGCCAGCAGCCGCGGUAAUACGUAGGGGGCCAGCGUUGUUCGGAAUUACUGGGCGUAAAGGGCGCGUAGGCGGUGCGGUGUGUUCGGUGUGAAAUCUCCCGGCUCAACCGGGAGGGGCCAUCGAAAACUGCCGCGCUUAGGGUACAGGAGGGGGCAGUGGAAUUCCCGGUGUAGCGGUGAAAUGCGUAGAGAUCGGGAGG
This 465-nucleotide ribosomal RNA is filed under the name uncultured Acidobacteriota bacterium. RNAcentral describes it as "bacterial SSU rRNA". It matches the Rfam family "Bacterial small subunit ribosomal RNA", at positions 224 to 704 of the family's 1533-position model. Lineage: Bacteria; Pseudomonadati; Acidobacteriota. The record is from RNAcentral.